UGAGAAAAGCAUCUGCUUAAUCGAGGAAAAACUCUUCAAACAGGGAAAUGAGUUGAACAAAGAGAAAAAGUGCUCCUCCACGCAGACUGAGAACGAGCAGGAAGCUGACAAAGACCCAAACCCCACAGCAAAGAGAACUGGAUCAGA
This is a long non-coding RNA of Silurus meridionalis, 147 nucleotides long. RefSeq lists it as uncharacterized. Lineage: Eukaryota; Metazoa; Chordata; Actinopteri; Siluriformes; Siluridae. The transcript has 4 exons. The record is from RefSeq and is a predicted model, not a curated record.